Molecule: ribosomal RNA, 449 nt
Filed under: uncultured bacterium
Lineage: Bacteria
Description: SSU rRNA
Rfam family: Bacterial small subunit ribosomal RNA
Source: RNAcentral
AGGAUGAACGCUGGCGGUCUGCUUAACACAUGCAAGUCGAACGGAGUACCUCGGUACUUAGUGGCGGACGGGUGAGUAACGCGUGAGAAUCUGCCCUUAGGUCGGGGACAACCAUUGGAAACGAUGGCUAAUACCGGAUAAGCCGAGAGGUAAAAGAUUAAUUGCCUAGGGAAGAGCUCGCGUCUGAUUAGCUAGUUGGUGAGGUAAAGGCUCACCAAGGCAUCGAUCAGUAGCUGGUCUGAGAGGAUGAUCAGCCACACUGGGACUGAGACACGGCCCAGACUCCUACGGGAGGCAGCAGUGGGGAAUUUUCCGCAAUGGGCGAAAGCCUGACGGAGCAAGACCGCGUGAGGGAGGAAGGCUCGUUGGGUUGUAAACCUCUUUUCUUGGGGAAGAACAAAUGACGGUACCAAGGAAUCAGCAUCGGCUAACUCCGUGCCAGCAGCCGC